UUUCCGUAGGUGAACCUGCGGAAGGAUCAUUAGUGAAUCGGCCCUCCGUGGCCUUCAUAACCAAUCCUCACACCUCUGUGAACUGUCGGGCCCUCCUCGGGCCCACCUUUAUACACAAACAUCUUGUCGUCAUGAACGUAUGCAUCAUAAAUGAAAACAAAACUUUCAACAACGGAUCUCUUGGCUCUCGCAUCGAUGAAGAACGCAGC
RNAcentral lists this unclassified non-coding RNA (209 nucleotides) under uncultured fungus. Its description in RNAcentral is "sequence contains ITS1, 5.8S rRNA gene". The stretch from base 161 to 209 matches the Rfam family "5.8S ribosomal RNA", at positions 1 to 49 of the family's 154-position model. The record is from RNAcentral. Lineage: Eukaryota; Fungi.